This 1104-nucleotide non-coding RNA is filed under the name Drosophila simulans. RNAcentral's name for it is "Eukaryotic large subunit ribosomal RNA". It matches the Rfam family "Eukaryotic large subunit ribosomal RNA", at positions 2019 to 2806 of the family's 3401-position model. The record is from Rfam by way of RNAcentral. Lineage: Eukaryota; Metazoa; Arthropoda; Insecta; Diptera; Drosophilidae.
ACAUCGAGUGUCCAGGAGGUCUAUCGUGAUAGUAGUAGGAGCGCAAUAAUCGUACUCGAUAAGAUGCUCGAGAUGAGAUAGUCGGCUGAUGGAACAUACAUGUUAUGCUCGUCUGGUAAUAGAGUUCUAGCAUUAUGUAGUACUGUCCCGGAUAGUUAGUACGUAGCCAAUGUGAACUUUCUUGCUAAAUUUUAGAUACUAUUUGGGUUAAACCAAUUAGUUCUUAUCAAUUAUAACGAUUAUCAAUAACAAUCAAUUCAGAACUGGCACGGACUGGGGAAUCCGACUGUCUAAUUAAAACAAAGCAUUGUGAUGGCCCUAGCGGGUGUUGACACAAUGUGAUUUCUGCCCAGUGCUCUGAAUGUCAAAGUGAAGAAAUUCAAGUAAGCGCGGGUCAACGGCGGGAGUAACUAUGACUCUCUUAAGGUAGCCAAAUGCCUCGUCAUCUAAUUAGUGACGCGCAUGAAUGGAUUAACGAGAUUCCUACUGUCCCUAUCUACUAUCUAGCGAAACCACAGCCAAGGGAACGGGCUUGGAAUAAUUAGCGGGGAAAGAAGACCCUUUUGAGCUUGACUCUAAUCUGGCAGUGUAAGGAGACAUAAGAGGUGUAGAAUAAGUGGGAGAUAUUAGACCUCGGUUUGGUAUCGUCAAUGAAAUACCACUACUCUUAUUGUUUCCUUACUUACUUGAUUAAAUGGAACGUGUAUCAUUUCCUAGCCAUUAUACGGAUAUAUUUAUUAUAUCUUAUGGUAUUGGGUUUUGAUGCAAGCUUCUUGAUCAAAGUAUCACGAGUUUGUUAUAUAAUCGCAAACAAAUUCUUUAAUAAAACGAUGCAUUUAUGUAUUUUUGAUUUGAAAAUUUGGUAUAACUCCAAUUACUCAGGUAUGAUCCAAUUCAAGGACAUUGCCAGGUAGGGAGUUUGACUGGGGCGGUACAUCUCUCAAAUAAUAACGGAGGUGUCCCAAGGCCAGCUCAGUGCGGACAGAAACCACACAUAGAGCAAAAGGGCAAAUGCUGACUUGAUCUCGGUGUUCAGUACACACAGGGACAGCAAAAGCUCGGCCUAUCGAUCCUUUUGGUUUAAAGAGUUUUAACAAGAGGGUA